RNAcentral lists this ribosomal RNA (2361 nucleotides) under Enterobacter cloacae. RNAcentral describes it as "bacterial LSU rRNA". It matches the Rfam family "Bacterial large subunit ribosomal RNA", at positions 585 to 2925 of the family's 2925-position model. The record is from RNAcentral. Lineage: Bacteria; Pseudomonadati; Pseudomonadota; Gammaproteobacteria; Enterobacterales; Enterobacteriaceae.
UUUAUGGGGUGACUGCGUACCUUUUGUAUAAUGGGUCAGCGACUUAUAUUCUGUAGCAAGGUUAACCGUAUAGGGGAGCCGAAGGGAAACCGAGUCUUAACUGGGCGUUAAGUUGCAGGGUAUAGACCCGAAACCCGGUGAUCUAGCCAUGGGCAGGUUGAAGGUUGGGUAACACUAACUGGAGGACCGAACCGACUAAUGUUGAAAAAUUAGCGGAUGACCUGUGGCUGGGGGUGAAAGGCCAAUCAAACCGGGAGAUAGCUGGUUCUCCCCGAAAGCUAUUUAGGUAGCGCCUCGUGAACUCAUCUUCGGGGGUAGAGCACUGUUUCGGCUAGGGGGCCAUCCCGGCUUACCAACCCGAUGCAAACUACGAAUACCGAAGAAUGUUAUCACGGGAGACACACGGCGGGUGCUAACGUCCGUCGUGAAGAGGGAAACAACCCAGACCGCCAGCUAAGGUCCCAAAGUCAUGGUUAAGUGGGAAACGAUGUGGGAAGGCACAGACAGCCAGGAUGUUGGCUUAGAAGCAGCCAUCAUUUAAAGAAAGCGUAAUAGCUCACUGGUCGAGUCGGCCUGCGCGGAAGAUGUAACGGGGCUAAACCAUGCACCGAAGCUGCGGCAGCGACACUAUGUGUUGUUGGGUAGGGGAGCGUUCUGUAAGCCGUUGAAGGUGUGCUGUGAGGCAUGCUGGAGGUAUCAGAAGUGCGAAUGCUGACAUAAGUAACGAUAAAGCGGGUGAAAAGCCCGCUCGCCGGAAGACCAAGGGUUCCUGUCCAACGUUAAUCGGGGCAGGGUGAGUCGACCCCUAAGGCGAGGCCGAAAGGCGUAGUCGAUGGGAAACAGGUUAAUAUUCCUGUACUUGGUGUUACUGCGAAGGGGGGACGGAGAAGGCUAUGUCAGCCGGGCGACGGUUGUCCCGGUUUAAGCAUGUAGGCGGAGGUUCCAGGUAAAUCCGGUACCUUAUUAACGCUGAGGUGUGAUGACGAGGCACUACGGUGCUGAAGUGAUAAAUGCCCUGCUUCCAGGAAAAGCCUCUAAGCAUCAGGUAACACGAAAUCGUACCCCAAACCGACACAGGUGGUCAGGUAGAGAAUACCAAGGCGCUUGAGAGAACUCGGGUGAAGGAACUAGGCAAAAUGGUGCCGUAACUUCGGGAGAAGGCACGCUGAUGUGUAGGUGAAGCCCCUGCGGGCGGAGCUGAAAUCAGUCGAAGAUACCAGCUGGCUGCAACUGUUUAUUAAAAACACAGCACUGUGCAAACACGAAAGUGGACGUAUACGGUGUGACGCCUGCCCGGUGCCGGAAGGUUAAUUGAUGGGGUUAGCGGCAACGCGAAGCUCUUGAUCGAAGCCCCGGUAAACGGCGGCCGUAACUAUAACGGUCCUAAGGUAGCGAAAUUCCUUGUCGGGUAAGUUCCGACCUGCACGAAUGGCGUAAUGAUGGCCAGGCUGUCUCCACCCGAGACUCAGUGAAAUUGAACUCGCUGUGAAGAUGCAGUGUACCCGCGGCAAGACGGAAAGACCCCGUGAACCUUUACUAUAGCUUGACACUGAACACUGGUCCUUGAUGUGUAGGAUAGGUGGGAGGCUUUGAAGCGUGGACGCCAGUCUGCGUGGAGCCAACCUUGAAAUACCACCCUUUAAUGGCUGGUGUUCUAACGUAGACCCGUAAUCCGGGUUGCGGACAGUGUCUGGUGGGUAGUUUGACUGGGGCGGUCUCCUCCCAAAGAGUAACGGAGGAGCACGAAGGUUGGCUAAUCCUGGUCGGACAUCAGGAGGUUAGUGCAAUGGCAUAAGCCAGCUUGACUGCGAGCGUGACGGCGCGAGCAGGUGCGAAAGCAGGUCAUAGUGAUCCGGUGGUUCUGAAUGGAAGGGCCAUCGCUCAACGGAUAAAAGGUACUCCGGGGAUAACAGGCUGAUACCGCCCAAGAGUUCAUAUCGACGGCGGUGUUUGGCACCUCGAUGUCGGCUCAUCACAUCCUGGGGCUGAAGUAGGUCCCAAGGGUAUGGCUGUUCGCCAUUUAAAGUGGUACGCGAGCUGGGUUUAGAACGUCGUGAGACAGUUCGGUCCCUAUCUGCCGUGGGCGCUGGAGAAUUGAGGGGGGCUGCUCCUAGUACGAGAGGACCGGAGUGGACGCAUCACUGGUGUUCGGGUUGUCAUGCCAAUGGCACUGCCCGGUAGCUAAAUGCGGAAGAGAUAAGUGCUGAAAGCAUCUAAGCACGAAACUUGCCCCGAGAUGAGUUCUCCCUGAGACCUUGAGUCUCCUGAAGGAACGUUAAAGACGAUGACGUUGAUAGGUCGGGUGUGUAAGCGCAGCGAUGCGUUGAGCUAACCGAUACUAAUGAACCGUGAGGCUUAACC